AUGGCUUACAGCUCAGGUCCUCUCUCCAUGCUUAGGAACCACUACAAAUGCUACUGCCUUGAGUCUCAUUUUGUUUCCCUCUGGAAACCACAUGUGUACCUUGUUUGCAGCAGUAUGGCACAGAUCAAAUUCUGGGAGUUUACAUUUCUGAAACUUGGGUCAAGGUCCUGGCCAAUCCUUAACAAGAGCAACCGUGUGGGCAUCUGUGGCAAUGUCAGAUUCACUCGAUCCCAAGACAAGAUGCUCUUUGAUAACGGACUAGAGGAAAGGGUGAAAGAAUGGUUUAGAACUAAUUCAAGAAAGAACAAUCUGAUUCACACUUGGAGGAGGACACAGGAGCUGAAUCAGAUGGGGCUGUGGUGCCUGGGGAGGAAAUUGUGAGUACUUGCUCCUGAUUGAGUAUCAUUAUCCUCCUGUUGUCUAGGAAGAUGAUUGUUAUAAUUAGCCACAAAUGUCAUGGGCAACUAUAAUUUACGUUUUCCUGUAACAACUGAUAGUUUAGCUUUUCAAUGCCUUCUUUUAUCUAUCCACCAUGGGGCUUUCCCCAUCCCUCCAUAACAAUCAAAUAUAGGAUAAAAUAUAUUUGUCUUAUAGUAUGUGUCUGUCAGUGUAUACUUAUAGUAAUAAUGUGACUAUUCAUUUUUAAAAAGUCAUUAAAUGGCUACUCACCCAAAUUUCAGGCUCCUUUAAAAUUAAAGUUCCUAUAAAAGAUUAGAAAUCAUGAGGUUAUAAAAUAGGAAUGCUGGUGGAGUCCUUAGAGAUAUUUUAGGACCAUUUCUCAUUAAUCUUAUUUCUAAAUAUAGUAUAAAGGGAUGUUAUUAAUUGUGUUGCAUAAUGCCUUUGAAAUGCAAUAUUAAUAUCCUUCGGAUUUUAUUUGUAGUGUAAUUUCUUAAUUCCAUUUUAAAUUUAUUAUGGUAAUUCAGUGGAAGUAUAUAUUUGUAUUCUAUUAUAGAAUAGUUAUAGUUUCUAUUCUAUUUUUAAUACAAAUAGUUUAUUUUUAAUAGAAAUACAAUAGUUUGUAUUCUAUUUUUAGUAAGCUGCUUUAGUAAGAACUAACUCUUGAGUUGAAUUUUUAAAAUAGAAUAAAAAUCACAAUAUUUUAUAAAGCAUUAUAUAAUUAAUUGCGAAGAAUUUUUAACUAGCAUGCACCUUUGGUAGAUACUAACCAAAUAAUAACCAUAUGCACUGAAUUGCUUUUGAAUGAAAGUCGCUCAAGUGCUCUUUUUAAAAAAUGUCUCACUGUUUUGGAUUUCAUACUAUAUUUAUUUAUUUAUUUAGAGCAGAGUCUCACUCUGUCACUUAAGCUGGAGUGCAGUGGUGUGAUCUCAGCUCACUGCAAUCUCCGCCUCCUGGGUUCAAGUGAUUCUCCUGCCUCAGCUUCCCGAGUAGCUGGGACUACAGGUGUACACCACCACGUCUGGCUAAUUUUUAUAUUUUUAGUAGAGAUGGGGUUGUGCCAUGUUGGCCAGGCUGGCCUUGAACUCCUGACCUCAGGUGAUCCGCCUGCCUCGGCCUCCCAAAGUGUUGGGAUUACAGGCAUGAGCCAUCGUGUCUGGCUUCAUACUAUAUUCAGAUUAAUAAGUUUCAUUGCAUAUUUUUAAGUAACACUAGAAAGUUAUAUUUAGAAUAGUAAUUAAAUGAAAACAAAUCAGUGACAUAAAUAGCUAGUAAAUCCAGGCCAAAGAUAACUGUUCCUAAAACUGAGGAGAGAUGGGACUAACAUCUUACAAUGAUAGGCUUUUGUUUGAAUAUAGCUACUGUCUGAACAUUUUUAUUUCUUUUACUACUAUAAUUGUUUUAUUUUAUUAUUAUUAUACUUUAAGUUUUAGGGUACAUGUGCACAAUGUGCAGGUUAGUUACAUAUGUAUACAUGUGCCAUGCUGGUGCGCUGCACCCAUUAACUCGUCAUUUAGCAUUAGGUAUAUCUCCUAAAGCUAUCCCUCCCCCCUUCCCCCACCCCACAACAGUCCCCAGAGUGCGAUGUUCCCCUUCCUGUGUCCAUGUGUUCUCAUUGUUCAGUUCCCACCUAUGAGUGAGAAUACGCGGUGCUUGGUUUUUUGUUCUUGCGAUAGUUUACUGAGAAUGAUGAUUUCCAAUUUCAUCCAUGUCCCUACAAAGGACAUGAACUCAUCAUUUUUUAUGGCUGCAUAGUAUUCCAUGGUGUAUAUGUGCCACAUUUUCUUAAUCCAGUCUCUAUCAUUGUUGGACAUUUGGGUUGGUUCCAAGUCUUUGCUAUUGUGAAUAGUGCCGCAAUAAACAUACAUGUGCAUGUGUCUUUAUAGCAGCAUGAUUUAUAGUCCUUUGGGUAUAUACCCAGUAAUGGGAUGGCUGGGUCAAAUGGUAUUUCUAGUUCUAGAUCCCUGAGGAAUCACCACACUGACUUCCACAAUGGUGGAACUAGUUUACAGUCCCACCAACAGUGUAAAAGUGUAAUUUUAAAAUGAAUGGUCAACAUCUGAUGUCUGCCCGUCUGCCUUACAUCCUUAUGACCUGAAUUUGUUCUGUAUGUCCUCACUGAGACGUUGUGCUAGGAUGUCAUUAAUAAAUUAUUUCUACAACACACAAUGACCGUUUGCUCAAUGUUCAUUCUCCGUGACAUCUCUGCAAAUUUAAAAUUGUUGACCACACCCUCCUACUCGAAAGAAGUGGCUUUUGUGGUAUCCAUUUUGAGUUGUCUUCUAUCUGGAUUACUCCUUCUCUCAUUACUAUGGAUUUUUCCAUUUUUCUAAAUGUGCAUGUUCCUUCAUGCCCAGUUUUAGAACAUGCACUCUUUUCCUUCUUCUGUAGGAAAUAUCUAUUUUCUAAGCUUCAAUGAUCAUUUCUGUGUGGAUAAAAUUAUGAACUAUGAUAAAUAACCUUUUUUUUUAUCUCCAGACUUGUCUUGUUGAAUCUCCUAGAGUCGAGGAAUCAAAGAAAAAUAACGACAUUAAGGAUUUUUUUUGAGAUCAUAAAACUAUAGAGUCACAGAGUUUAAAAUAUGGAAAUAACUGGAAUUAUGGAGAUUCUAUCAGGAAGGUUCCUGUUUGUUUGAGUUUUCAAAAAUUUUGCUGUUGUUUGAAAGACGAUGCAUUUUUUCUUUUCAGUUUUUAUGUUUAAUUCUUUGUUUCUUUAAUUUUAGAGGUGGUUCUUGUGUUGUUGCAUAUUUUUUAAUUAAAGGCCAAUAAAAUAUAGACUAUUUUUAUCUAUUUUCACGCAAUUGGAAUAAUUUUCUUAAAAUAAAUUCCUUUAAGCAAAGGUACGUAGUUUUUUUAGGUUAUGGAAAAAUUAAAUUACUGUGUAUACUCAAAGUCCUGUUAGUGGCACUGGAUCAAAACUGUUAUUUUAAAGCCACUUGCUGAUUUUGCUGGCAGUGAUUAUAAUGAAAUAUAAUAAUAUGUUUUAUUUAUAAAGUGCUUUUCACCUAUACAUUCAGAGUGUCUGCAUUUCAAGUGAUACUCAGGGUAUGUCAGUCGAUAACUUCAGUUUCUGAGGCCUGAUGAACACAUUUGCAUAAUGUUCAUGCUUGUUGAUUACUGGGGUCAAAAAGUCCAAAUUCACACUGCAUGUGUUCAAAAUAUCAUAGGAUUACUCAAUAAGGUCUUGAAAUUUUUUCCUACCAUAUUAUUUUUGUUUAAGGACAGGAUUUGGGACAAACAAACAGAGGUCUUUCUCUGUGAAAGACCUAAACUAGCGUCUUGUGUACUGAAUAAAAUAUAACUAUAAAAGAAUGACACAAAUUUCCUUAUAUGAUUGUGGAAUUAGUCUCGUUAUCUUAAAAUAAUACUAUCAUACCACAACUAUUAUUGUCACCAAAAAAGAGCAAAAGAGCAAAAGAGCAAAGGAUACUUUAGUUUACUGUCUAAAGAUCGGUUUUACUAAUGAAAAAACAUUUCCCUGCCUCCUCUUAGUCAUUAGAAGACAUUACAUAAAAAAGCCCCACAGUUGCUUCUGAGUAGUUAAAGCAUAUUCUUAAGUGGUUAAUUUUCUGCCCCAAUUUCAUCUUGUUCAUAUUCUUUCCCUUUCUCUUCUCUACCAGUUUCCAUCUUUUCUAAGACAGUUAGGUAAUGACUAGCAAUACAUUUGUCCCUACCCUGGAUAAUUCAAUACAUUAAAACAAGAUGGAAUUCAAUAAGAAAUAUUGCUAAUUCCACAUGUCCUCUGCUCAGUGUCUUUGGCUGUGGACUGCUGGCUGCUCAUUUUGCUUUUUUAAUUUGAAAGGCGGCUCUAAAAAAACAUUUUCUUCUUUGUACCUAAUUUUCUGAAGUGAAAAUAUUUACAUAUCCACAUAUGGCAUUCAACAUAUGUGGAAACUAUAUUUGAUAGUAAAGAAAAUUUGAUACCCAAUAUUUGGUAGCAGUAAGCAAAUAUAAUCUUAACAUAAUAGUAAGAGCGGACUUAGCAUAAAGGGAAGAGCACAUGGGCC
Molecule: long non-coding RNA, 4402 nt
Organism: Pan paniscus (pygmy chimpanzee)
Lineage: Eukaryota; Metazoa; Chordata; Mammalia; Primates; Hominidae
Source: Ensembl